RNAcentral lists this ribosomal RNA (682 nucleotides) under Microbacterium maritypicum. RNAcentral's name for it is "bacterial SSU rRNA". It matches the Rfam family "Bacterial small subunit ribosomal RNA", at positions 55 to 750 of the family's 1533-position model. Lineage: Bacteria; Bacillati; Actinomycetota; Actinomycetes; Micrococcales; Microbacteriaceae. The record is from RNAcentral.
AUGCAGUCGACGGUGAACACGGAGCUUGCUCUGUGGGAUCAGUGGCGAACGGGUGAGUAACACGUGAGCAACCUGCCCCUGACUCUGGGAUAAGCGCUGGAAACGGCGUCUAAUACUGGAUAUGUGACGUGAUCGCAUGGUCUGCGUCUGGAAAGAAUUUCGGUUGGGGAUGGGCUCGCGGCCUAUCAGCUUGUUGGUGAGGUAAUGGCUCACCAAGGCGUCGACGGGUAGCCGGCCUGAGAGGGUGACCGGCCACACUGGGACUGAGACACGGCCCAGACUCCUACGGGAGGCAGCAGUGGGGAAUAUUGCACAAUGGGCGCAAGCCUGAUGCAGCAACGCCGCGUGAGGGACGACGGCCUUCGGGUUGUAAACCUCUUUUAGCAGGGAAGAAGCGAAAGUGACGGUACCUGCAGAAAAAGCGCCGGCUAACUACGUGCCAGCAGCCGCGGUAAUACGUAGGGCGCAAGCGUUAUCCGGAAUUAUUGGGCGUAAAGAGCUCGUAGGCGGUUUGUCGCGUCUGCUGUGAAAUCCGGAGGCUCAACCUCCGGCCUGCAGUGGGUACGGGCAGACUAGAGUGCGGUAGGGGAGAUUGGAAUUCCUGGUGUAGCGGUGGAAUGCGCAGAUAUCAGGAGGAACACCGAUGGCGAAGGCAGAUCUCUGGGCCGUAACUGACGCUGAG